This 167-nucleotide microRNA precursor is filed under the name Pelobates cultripes (western spadefoot toad). The record is from RNAcentral. Lineage: Eukaryota; Metazoa; Chordata; Amphibia; Anura; Pelobatidae.
GCAGAGGGGGGACAGGCAGCACACAGCUUCUCCUCCUCUCUGCUCUCUCCUCUCUUCUAAUAACUCUUGCGAGACCCACGGAGCGUUGCCAUGGUAACCGGGUCUCGCGAGAGUUAUUAGAAGAGAGAAGAGAGGAGGAGAAGCAGUGUGCUGCCUGGGCCCCCUCU